RNAcentral lists this long non-coding RNA (881 nucleotides) under Anas platyrhynchos platyrhynchos (common mallard). RNAcentral's name for it is "lncRNA (ENSAPLG00000027412.1)". Lineage: Eukaryota; Metazoa; Chordata; Aves; Anseriformes; Anatidae. The record is from RNAcentral.
UGGUUCCCUAAAAGCUUCACUGCAUUGCAGGGUGCAGUAAAGACAUACCUUCAGUGCAUGCUUUCCGAAGCACUGCUCUUUCAAAGACAGUGGAUAUUCUUUACUGACUAUUCUUGCUUCAUGCUGGUGGUUUACAUCAAAAGUGAUUUCUCACUUCUUCAUUUUUCAGCUGCAGAAUGGAUUGGUAUUGAAAUUGACUGAGAAAUAAACUUAAAGAAUGCACAGCUCAUGGUGAUAGCAAAAAUUGGACGUGAAGCUGACAGAGCAGGAUCAGGAGGCUUUGGUUCGCACCGCCGCUGCAGGCAACCACCGCAUCCUGACGUGGACCAGGGAGACAUCCCUGAAUGCCGCCUUUGUUUCGUGCCAGGGAGUUUCUUUGGAUGAAGCCGAUCAAAGGUGAAAUCCUAGACAUGGUGUGCAAGCCUGCCUGGCUGAUGGGACGGAGGCUUAACCCAGUGCCCUGGUGAACCACUUGCAGGCAAUACAUAUGGGGACUGCAUAAGUCUGAGAACCUGGUGCUGCUGGUGGGAAACAGGUGAGUUCCUAGCUGAUCUCCCUCUUUCAAAGCAAAAUACAAACACACACACACAUAUAUGCACAUAUUUUUAUACAUUUGUAGCCAAUUUAAUUAAAUGAAAUUCCUUACAAGCUGGGACUGAACAAGACAAGAUUGAAUCAAUAACUGCUUUUUUUUUCUUUCUGUUUUUUUUUUUUUUUUCAAUUCCUGUGUUCAAACAUAAGUCCCUAAGAAAGAAGGGCUGGAUAUUCCAACACAGGAAAGUGUUGGCUUUUCAAACUGAUUGUUUACAAAAGGUUUUAGUUAAAUCACCUCAUUGAUUAACAAAGACUAGGGCUAUGCCUCUGUGAACCACUGUUACUAC